Paramuricea clavata is the source of this 347-nucleotide non-coding RNA. Lineage: Eukaryota; Metazoa; Cnidaria; Anthozoa; Malacalcyonacea; Plexauridae. The record is from the annotation of a GenBank genome assembly.
CCCCCAAGGUCACUGACAUGCGAACAAAUCAUUUUUAUUCGUGAAAAAAUGCCAAAUUUACCAAACGUAAUGCUUAGAUAAGGCCAACGUAUAGUUUACUUAGGCAAACAGCUCGGGCGCGCUGCGUAUUAGAUGAGUGGUUUGAUUUGCAAUUCAAAAUCUGUUGACAACCUCGUUUUCACAUUGUCAUUUUAAAUUUUGGAAGUUGUUUCACAAUCGUCACAAUAGGGCCAUUUAUACGAGCAAAAAUAAGUGGUUUAAAUACGUCGCGAAUGACUCGUAUAUAAAAUACUAGGUUGCAUAUAGUUAGUUAUUGGUUAGUAGGUAAUAUUUAAUAUUGCAUGUUG